Molecule: transfer RNA, 74 nt
Filed under: Mycobacteroides abscessus subsp. abscessus
Lineage: Bacteria; Bacillati; Actinomycetota; Actinomycetes; Mycobacteriales; Mycobacteriaceae
Description: tRNA-Thr(cgt)
Rfam family: tRNA
About the family: Transfer RNA (tRNA) molecules are approximately 80 nucleotides in length. Their secondary structure includes four short double-helical elements and three loops (D, anti-codon, and T loops). Further hydrogen bonds mediate the characteristic L-shaped molecular structure. tRNAs have two regions of fundamental functional importance: the anti-codon, which is responsible for specific mRNA codon recognition, and the 3' end, to which the tRNAs corresponding amino acid is attached (by aminoacyl-tRNA synthetases). tRNAs cope with the degeneracy of the genetic code in two manners: having more than one tRNA (with a specific anti-codon) for a particular amino acid; and 'wobble' base-pairing, i.e. permitting non-standard base-pairing at the 3rd anti-codon position.
Source: RNAcentral
GCUGCCUUAGCUCAAUUGGUAGAGCGCCGCUUUCGUAAUGCGGAGGUUAACGGUUCGAGUCCGUUAGGCAGCUC